CCCUUAGAUGUCCUGGGCCGCACGCGCGUUACACUGAUGCAUUCAACGAGCUUAUAACCUUGGCCGAGAGGCCUGGGCAAUCUUGUUAACGUGCAUCGUGAUAGGGAUAGAUUAUUGAAAUUAUUAAUCUUGAACGAGGAAUUCCUAGUAAACGCAGAUCAUCAAUCUGCAUUGAUUACGUCCCUGCCCUUUGUACACACCGCCCGUCGCACCUACCGAUUGAAUGGUCCGGUGAAAUCUCCGGACUGGCGUGAGUCGGAGCAAUCUGACAAACACCGGAAAGUUGAUUAAACCUUACCAUUUAGAGGAAGGUGAANUCGUAACA
Molecule: ribosomal RNA, 325 nt
Filed under: uncultured eukaryote
Lineage: Eukaryota
Description: partial 18S ribosomal RNA
Rfam family: Eukaryotic small subunit ribosomal RNA
Source: RNAcentral